RNAcentral lists this ribosomal RNA (475 nucleotides) under Selenomonas sp. oral taxon E80. RNAcentral describes it as "bacterial SSU rRNA". It matches the Rfam family "Bacterial small subunit ribosomal RNA", at positions 28 to 488 of the family's 1533-position model. The record is from RNAcentral. Lineage: Bacteria; Bacillati; Bacillota; Negativicutes; Selenomonadales; Selenomonadaceae.
GACGAACGCGGCGGCGUGCUUAACACAUGCAAGUCGAACGGAGCGAAUGAAAGCUUGCUUUUAUGCGCUUAGUGGCAAACGGGUGAGUAACACGUAGGCAACCUGCCGACAGGAUGGGGACAACAUUCCGAAAGGAAUGCUAAUACCGAAUGAAGUGCAGGAGAGGCAUCUCUCCUGCGUGAAAGAUGGCCUCUAUAUAUAAGCUAUCACCUGUCGAUGGGCCUGCGUCUGAUUAGCUGGUUGGUGAGGUAACAGCUCACCAAGGCGACGAUCAGUAGCCGGUCUGAGAGGAUGAACGGCCACAUUGGGACUGAGACACGGCCCAGACUCCUACGGGAGGCAGCAGUGGGGAAUCUUCCGCAAUGGGCGCAAGCCUGACGGAGCAACGCCGCGUGAGUGAAGAAGGUCUUCGGAUCGUAAAGCUCUGUUGAUGGGGACGAAACGUAACGGGGUGCGAAAUAGUACCCUGUAAAUG